Rhizobacter sp. Root1221 is the source of this 177-nucleotide non-coding RNA. The record is from Rfam. NCBI's taxonomy places the organism in Bacteria, Pseudomonadati, Pseudomonadota, Betaproteobacteria, Burkholderiales, Sphaerotilaceae.
AUGAGGGCGACCGAGUGUGGGUAGGACGCGCGUGGAGCGAAGUUGCGAGCAGACAAACAGGAACGGGGUAGAAGGCGUUGCCGAGGGGCGAGCGGGUAUGGAACCGUGAAGCUCUCGUGAUCAAGGCGAGACAGCGAAGGGCAAUACCGGCCUCAGCCGCGACGAAGGGUGAUGAUC